UUAGUUUAGGUGCCGCUUUUAGAAGGUAAAAGCGGAUAAUAGGGAAGUCUGAACAUGGUUUUCCAUGUGUAAGCGCGGGCCCGCCACUGUACCGAGGAGGUUCCACAAAUUGCCACUCAGCUAUCGGGGAAGGCGUGGAUACUAAUGAAUCGGGAGCCAGGAAACCUGCCUAAACUGUAA
RNAcentral lists this non-coding RNA (180 nucleotides) under human gut metagenome. The record is from RNAcentral.